This 85-nucleotide transfer RNA is filed under the name Felis catus (domestic cat). It matches the Rfam family "tRNA". From Rfam's summary of the family: Transfer RNA (tRNA) molecules are approximately 80 nucleotides in length. Their secondary structure includes four short double-helical elements and three loops (D, anti-codon, and T loops). Further hydrogen bonds mediate the characteristic L-shaped molecular structure. tRNAs have two regions of fundamental functional importance: the anti-codon, which is responsible for specific mRNA codon recognition, and the 3' end, to which the tRNAs corresponding amino acid is attached (by aminoacyl-tRNA synthetases). tRNAs cope with the degeneracy of the genetic code in two manners: having more than one tRNA (with a specific anti-codon) for a particular amino acid; and 'wobble' base-pairing, i.e. permitting non-standard base-pairing at the 3rd anti-codon position. The record is from Rfam by way of RNAcentral. Lineage: Eukaryota; Metazoa; Chordata; Mammalia; Carnivora; Felidae.
GCCCGGGUGGCUCAGUCGGUUGAGCGUCUGACUUUGGCUCAGGUCAUGAUCUCGCAGUCUGUGAGUUCGAGCCCCGCGUCGGGCU